RNAcentral lists this ribosomal RNA (253 nucleotides) under uncultured bacterium. RNAcentral's name for it is "partial 16S ribosomal RNA". It matches the Rfam family "Bacterial small subunit ribosomal RNA", at positions 524 to 776 of the family's 1533-position model. The record is from RNAcentral.
UACGUAGGGUGCAAGCGUUGUCCGGAAUUAUUGGGCGUAAAGAGCUCGUAGGCGGUUUGUCGCGUCGGCUGUGAAAACCCGGGGCUCAACCCCGGGCCUGCAGUCGAUACGGGCAAACUAGAGUGUGGUAGGGGAGACUGGAAUUCCUGGUGUAGCGGUGAAAUGCGCAGAUAUCAGGAGGAACACCGGUGGCGAAGGCGGGUCUCUGGGCCAUAACUGACGCUGAGGAGCGAAAGCGUGGGGAGCGAACAGG